UACGUAGGGGGCAAGCGUUGUCCGGAUUUAUUGGGCGUAAAGCGCGCGCAGGCGGUCUAUUAAGUCUGAUGUGAAAGCCCACGGCUCAACCGUGGAGGGCCAUUGGAAACUGGUAGGCUUGAGUGCAGGAGAGGAGAGCGGAAUUCCCGGUGUAGCGGUGAAAUGCGCAGAUAUCGGGAAGAACACCCGUGGCGAAGGCGGCUCUCUGGGACGGUACUGACGCUGAGACGCGAAAGCGUGGGGAGCGAACAGG
This 253-nucleotide ribosomal RNA is filed under the name uncultured bacterium. RNAcentral's name for it is "partial 16S ribosomal RNA". It matches the Rfam family "Bacterial small subunit ribosomal RNA", at positions 524 to 776 of the family's 1533-position model. The record is from RNAcentral.